UAAAUGCAGAAAUGAGUAUAAG
This 22-nucleotide non-coding RNA is filed under the name Gossypium hirsutum (cotton). The record is from RNAcentral. Lineage: Eukaryota; Viridiplantae; Streptophyta; Magnoliopsida; Malvales; Malvaceae.